AGCCCCGUAGUACAGUGGCCAAGUAUGUCGGGCUUUGGACCCGAAGACCUCGGUUCGAAUCCGGGCGGGGCUA
RNAcentral lists this transfer RNA (73 nucleotides) under Candidatus Woesearchaeota archaeon. RNAcentral describes it as "tRNA-Gln". It matches the Rfam family "tRNA". Rfam says of the family: Transfer RNA (tRNA) molecules are approximately 80 nucleotides in length. Their secondary structure includes four short double-helical elements and three loops (D, anti-codon, and T loops). The record is from RNAcentral. Lineage: Archaea; Nanobdellati; Candidatus Woesearchaeota.